Molecule: transfer RNA, 85 nt
Filed under: Candidatus Saccharimonadota bacterium
Lineage: Bacteria; Candidatus Saccharimonadota
Also listed under: 1 other name
Description: tRNA-Leu
Rfam family: tRNA
About the family: Transfer RNA (tRNA) molecules are approximately 80 nucleotides in length. Their secondary structure includes four short double-helical elements and three loops (D, anti-codon, and T loops).
Source: RNAcentral
GGGCAAGUGGCGGAAUUGGUAUACGCGCACGACUCAAAAUCGUGUUCCUUACGGAUUGAGGGUUCGAUUCCCUCCUUGCCCACCA